Molecule: ribosomal RNA, 492 nt
Filed under: uncultured bacterium
Lineage: Bacteria
Description: partial 16S ribosomal RNA
Rfam family: Bacterial small subunit ribosomal RNA
Source: RNAcentral
AUUGAACGCUGGCGGCAUGCUUUACACAUGCAAGUCGAACGGUAACAGGCCUUCGGGUGCUGACGAGUGGCGAACGGGUGAGUAAUGCAUCGGAACGUGCCCAGAGGUGGGGGAUAACGCAGCGAAAGCUGUGCUAAUACCGCAUGUGAUCUGAGGAUGAAAGCGGGGGACCAGGCAGCAAUGUUUGGCCUCGCGCCUUUGGAGCGGCCGAUGUCAGAUUAGGUAGUUGGUGGGGUAAAGGCCUACCAAGCCGACGAUCUGUAGCUGGUCUGAGAGGACGACCAGCCACACUGGGACUGAGUCACGGCCCAGACUCCUACGGGAGGCAGCAGUGGGGAAUUUUGGACAAUGGGCGCAAGCCUGAUCCAGCAAUGCCGCGUGCGGGAAGAAGGCCUUCGGGUUGUAAACCGCUUUUGUACGGAACGAAAAGGCUCUGGCUAAUACCUGGGGCUGAUGACGGUACCGUAAGAAUAAGCACCGGCUAACUACGUG